CAGCAGCCACGGUAAUACGAAGGGUGCAAGCGUUAAUCGGAAUUACUGGGCGUAAAGGGUGCGUAGGCGGUUGUUUAAGUCUGUUGUGAAAUCCCCGGGCUCAACCUGGGAAUGGCAAUGGAAACUGGACGGCUAGAGUGUGUCAGAGGAUGGUGGAAUUCCCGGUGUAGCGGUGAAAUGCGUAGAGAUCGGGAGGAACAUCAGUGGCGAAGGCGGCCAUCUGGGACAACACUGACGCUGAAGCACGAAAGCGUUGGGAGCAAACAGGAUUAGAUACCCCCGUAGUCCCUGUCUCUUAUAC
RNAcentral lists this ribosomal RNA (301 nucleotides) under uncultured bacterium. RNAcentral's name for it is "partial 16S ribosomal RNA". It matches the Rfam family "Bacterial small subunit ribosomal RNA", at positions 509 to 807 of the family's 1533-position model. The record is from RNAcentral.